CCAACGUGGUAAUGCUGGCAUAAUAAUUCCCGGUUGCCAUUUUCUGACAUUUGAAAAGAUCUGAAGAUACGCCCCUUGGAUGCCUGCAGAGAAGCUCUGGGGCUUCAGUCAAUGACUCAGGGUAGCCACCGAACAUGAUGCUCGGGCAGUGGGUGCCACCUGGACUCCACUCUCCCCUCUCUCUGGGAUCAUAGAGUCCAAGGUGUUCUGUGGCCUCUCGGCCAAUCCCAGCAGCUCAGCGUGCAGAAGACCGAGGAGCCAUUGGUCAGUGUAGGAGGUGCCUGGAGUUUUGGAGAUGGGAUCCACAGGAAUUCAACACAACACGAAAUAAUCAACAAAUUCGGGGAAUGUUAAUCUGACCAUCACCAGUUACAAAUGAUGUUUCAUGCUACCUUCUAUUCCUGCCUUCAUAAAUCAAGGAAAAGAAAAAGAGAACAUAUAUCCCCCUACCUUUUGAUUUCCAACAGUCUACUGAGAGGCCAAGAUUAUUUGCAGGGAAAGAAAAGGGGUCAAAAUGUUUUGCCAGUAACUCCCAAAUCAUCUACAGCCAAGGAGAAAAGUGUUUCAAGACAGAGGUGCUCAAUGGUAUCAAAUACUGCCAACAGACCAAGUAAUACAUGCAUUGAAGUGUCUACUGGAUCUAGCUAUAUGAAUUUUUAAUUUAGGACACUUAGGCCAUACUGAAGCAAGGUGACAAAAUGAAUAGCUACAAUGUCUCGUGAAUCUUGGGUUUCCAUUCACCCUGGUAUUCAAGAGAAAUUCUUGCAUCAUGGAAGUUGCAGUUGGAUAGGACUUUCUCAGCUGAACACUGUCAUCUGCCAGAGCUUCAGGCAAGAACCCAGAACAGAUGAAACCCCAGACAUGACAAAAUAAGCCAAAGAAUACCAGGCCAAGGUGUGAAAGGCCAGAUGAGAACAAGCAGCGUACACGAUUCUGUUGCCAACAGAUCUCCCCUAACAGUGUCGUGCACCAAAUUUCCACAGUGAAUGUCAGGAAAAAAUGGCAAUUGAGAUGAAGAAACUGAGGCAGACAGAGGUGAAGAAACUUGCACAAGGUCAAAGAACAAACGAUACAUAUUUUAAUAUGAUGAGUCUCCUGGGAUCUUUUAAAACGAAGUUGUUCAUACAUUAUAAUAAAUCCA
RNAcentral lists this long non-coding RNA (1141 nucleotides) under Homo sapiens (human). Its description in RNAcentral is "HSALNT0356406". The record is from RNAcentral. Lineage: Eukaryota; Metazoa; Chordata; Mammalia; Primates; Hominidae.